AUACGGGGGGUCCGAACGUUAAUCGGAAUUACUGGGCGUAAAGCGCGCGUAGGCGGUUCGGUAAGUGGGAUGUGAAAGCCCCGGGCUCAACCUGGGAAUUGCAUUCCAUACUGCCGGACUAGAGUAUGGUAGAGGGAGGUAGAAUUUCCUGUGUAGCGGUGAAAUGCGUAGAUAUAGGAAGGAAUACCGGUGGCGAAGGCGGCCUCCUGGACCAAUACUGACGCUGAGGUGCGAAAGCGUGGGGAGCAAACAGGAUUAGAUACCCCAGUAGUCC
RNAcentral lists this ribosomal RNA (274 nucleotides) under uncultured bacterium. Its description in RNAcentral is "partial 16S ribosomal RNA". It matches the Rfam family "Bacterial small subunit ribosomal RNA", at positions 523 to 796 of the family's 1533-position model. The record is from RNAcentral.